GGCUGAGCAGCAGCCAUCGCAAAGAGAAGAGACGGGAGAGGGGGGACAGAGAGAGGAGGAGGAGGAGGAAGGCCAAAGAUGGAGGUAGGAGGAAGGAGAGACAUCGGAGGGACGGCCACCGGGUGAGCGGCGAGUACUGUGGCGAGAGCGUUAACCGGCGGUCCAGAGAGGACCGGAGUCCCAGUGUGGAGAUCAUCUAUGAGGGCACCAUUUCGUGUGACGCCACUCAACCUCCCACCCGCAAACGGCGCCGAAAACGCCAACGCAAGAUCCAGGACAGCUCUCCCGUCAUCAUCACCCUCGACAGCGACAGCAGCCACGAUGGCGCCAACAACAAAAACAUCAACAGCAGCAGCAGCAGUCCUCUCAGCAGCCAGCAGACCGUCGACUUCUCCGACCUCCCCCCUCUCCCACUGGUGCCUUCUGCUGAUGUGGGCGGGGCCUUGGAUGGCGACAUCGGGGAGCUUCCCAUUGACAUCCUGGACCGAGGAUCUGAUGGGUCAGAGGCGGAGCCAACGGGCCAGUUGGAGGUGGCGGGUCCCAUCGCCAUUGAUAACAGUGACAACAGUGAUCGAGAGGUGGAUGUUGAAAAUGUUGAAGAGGCGAAUUCACGGCUGGCGUGGGAUGAAGAUAAAGGGCGGUCCUUUUCAAACCACGGACCAAUCAGAACCGUUGAUAGGAAGACUGCUGAUGAUCCAGAGGGAGGAGUGAGUGUAGAUGGCGGCGCUCAGCAGGCAGGAGGCUGUGAUUCGCACGCCGAAACAACUGAUCCUCAACAGGGAAACACUGAAGUCUUGACAUCUGACAGCCGUCUCCUAGCAACCAUCCUCAGUGACCUGAGGGAAAUCGCCAUUCCUAAAUGCAACCUGUUGAACUUUGAGGCCAGUAAAGAACACGCCAGUCGAGCUCAUCUGGACCAGGGCGACCUGUCCACGGAGACAGGACAUCCCGAUGCUGAUUUGUCCCAGGGGCAACACUGUAAUGAUGUCAAGGACCAAAAUCAGGGGCUGGACUGUCACACUCCCACACCCCCGCCGCCAUCUCUCAGAGUGGAGAGCACGGACGUCCCGCCACUUCUGAAGAAGGCCAGUCCUGUUCGAUCAUACAACAGAAACACACCGCCGCCAUUAAAGCACAAAGAUGCUGGGAGUCCACGCCUGUCGCCUGCAUCCCCCGCCAGCCUCCGCUCACCUGCUGCCUCUGACAUUGACCCAGCUGGUGUAAAUAAUCCCAUUAGCUAUGAUUUUAAACCCACUGUCUCCCUUGUUGACCCCCACCUGUCUCAGUCCAUCCCCCCCAUUUCAUCGCUGAAGAAACACCUGGCCUCCACCAGCCACCAUCAAACCAUCAACAUCCAUCCUUCCUGUCCGCCACGACCCGCCGACUCCCCUGAAGUCAGAGCAUUAACAUCUGAGCCUCCCGCUGACGUCCAUUCAUCUCCCACCAGUCAUGACCGUCUCCCACAGCUGGAUUUCUUCCAUCCUUUAAAUUUCCAUCCCAGAUAUGACAGCAUGAAGAAAACGCCGUCCUGUGCAGUCACCUCUUCGGCCAAUAACUUGCAUCCUGUGAAUUCUUUAUCUGUGGUUGAUUUCCAUUCAGCCCAAAGCGGCUGGUCCAAAGAAAGACCAGCUCAGACGGACUCUACCUCUGGACGCUGCAGGACCAGGACUCACCUGGAUCCCCGUCAGGUCCAUCUUUCUGCUGGAGGCACGGCGGCAGGCAGUUCUGUUUUCUCAGGAGUCGAUGCUAAAGACACAUCAGCUGCUGUUUCGGUGUCACCUCAUGACUCCAGGACUCAGAAUCCUCCCUCACACACUGACUUGCAUCCUAGAAAUCCCAAAUGCACCGUUGCAGCUUCAGAGGGACUGAGAGGUCAGAGGUCACCUCAUAGUUCCCCUCCAUCCAUUGAUUUCCAGCAGAUCAGCCCUUCGCCUCCUGUGAACUUACAUUCAUCUCACUCAGUCACCGCUGCGAUCGACGGACACUUAAACCACACGGCCUUACCUUCCUCUACCUUCCACACGCCAUACAGGAAGUACAGUUCUCAAGCCGAGUCCACCAUUGAAUCCAACGCCGAACGCCACAACCACUUUGAUCCCGGCGCUGAGCCCGUUGACUCCCAGUCAAAAAACUCCUAGAGAGACUUCCGUGAUAAAAUGAGGACAGGUGGGAUGAAGAUGUUUGGACUGUGUUCCACACUUCGCCUCAAAGGACACACAGGAAGACGUGAGGAGGUUUUCAUGGAGAAAAUAUGAUGAAAGAAAACUGCAUUUUUUUAUGAUGUUGUUGUUGAAUUGUUUAUAAAACUAACUGAGUUGAUUUCAGAUCUUCGGUUUUAGCCGUUUGAAUGGAAUGAAAACUUUGUUUGAACUAUUUAUAUGUAUAAUUGGACUUUUUGACCGACACAUUUAAAUAUAAAACCCACCGACACCAGCAGGUGGAACAAACAGAGGUCACGUCUCCAUUUUUCACAAGUUUCCUGGGAAACCUGAAGCCCCGCCCCCUGUCUGUCACCACAGCUCGGUCAUUUGUACAGUCAGUCGCUUUAGCCCCAAACUGAACAGGAGUUUAAGAGCUGGAUCAAAGCAUCAGAUGGAUUCUCUUUAUUCACAGCGUCGUCAGAGAACAGAACGUGACACCUUUUAUACUAAAGUCAGGCUUCAUCCCAUUUACCAGACCUUUUAGGCAACACUUCUUAAAUUCACUAAUCUUGAACUUUGACAAUGAUAGUUACACAACACUGUGUGUGGGUGGGGGUGCUGCUGACCUGGCUCUCACGGAGAACCCCAGGGCCCCCUGAAAGUGACAGAAAUAAGAAUAAAUUGAAAAUGGAUGUGUUGACGUGAUCUGUUGGAAAGAACCUGACGGGUUAAAGAAUAAAACUGCUGAGAAAGUUCACUAACAGCAAAGUGUUUGUUUCUCAUUCAUAAAUGUUCACUGGUUCAGACUGAGGGAACUGCAGUUCCAGUUUGUCACCAGCAGAUGGAGCUGGGCCUCCUCCACCCCCCCCACCCAGAGGAGGAG
Echeneis naucrates (live sharksucker) is the source of this 3024-nucleotide long non-coding RNA. The record is from Ensembl. Lineage: Eukaryota; Metazoa; Chordata; Actinopteri; Carangiformes; Echeneidae.